RNAcentral lists this long non-coding RNA (374 nucleotides) under Brassica napus (rape). RNAcentral describes it as "long non-coding RNA (BNAP_LNC014335)". The record is from RNAcentral. Lineage: Eukaryota; Viridiplantae; Streptophyta; Magnoliopsida; Brassicales; Brassicaceae.
UUCCUUUGUCAUCACGAGUGGAAACAUCAGUUUUAAAGGCAGUAUGUGUUGUGAUAGGCGACUUACCUUUGUCUUGAUAGCUUGGCUUAGGAGCAUAGGCCGGUUUAGGAGAGUAGGCCGGCUUAGAAGUAGUGGCCGGUUUUGAGAAACUCCUUCUCUUGAGUUGUUGCUCGAUCAAGAUGGCUUUGUGUAGCAUCUGUUCCACACUUCCAUACUCUUGAAGCUCCAUACGAUCUUGGAUGUCACGGUUGAGGCCUGAAAGAAAGCGAGCCAUAGUGGCGUCCAAAGGUUCAUCCGUGUCCGUUUUGGUCAUCAAAACUUCCAUCUCUUGAUAAUAGUCUUCCACAGAUUUGGUUCCUUGAAGCAAACGUCUU